Molecule: ribosomal RNA, 254 nt
Filed under: uncultured bacterium
Lineage: Bacteria
Description: partial 16S ribosomal RNA
Rfam family: Bacterial small subunit ribosomal RNA
Source: RNAcentral
CACGUAGGCACCAAGCGUUGUCCGGAUUUAUUGGGCGUAAAGAGCUCGUAGGCGGUUCAGUAAGUCAGGUGUGAAAUCUUUGGGCUUAACCCAAAGCGUGCACUUGAUACUGCUGUGACUUGAGUUCGGUAGGGGAGUGGGGAAUUCCUAGUGUAGCGGUGAAAUGCGCAGAUAUCAGGAGGAACACCGGUGGCGAAGGCGGAUCUCUGGGCCAUUACUGACGCUGAGGAGCGAAAGCGUGGGGAGCGAACAGG